AGCGUACACGGUGGAUGCCCUGGCAGUCAGAGGCGAUGAAGGACGUGCUAAUCUGCGAAAAGCGUCGGUAAGGUGAUAUGAACCGUUAUAACCGGCGAUGUCCGAAUGGGGAAACCCAGUGCAAUUCGUUGCACUAUCGUUAACUGAAUACAUAGGUUAACGAGGCGAACCGGGGGAACUGAAACAUCUAAGUACCCCGAGGAAAAGAAAUCAACCGAGAUUCCCCCAGUAGCGGCGAGCGAACGGGGAGCAGCCCAGAGUCUGAAUCAGCUUGUGUGUUAGUGGAACGGUCUGGAAAGUCCGACGGUACAGGGUGAUAGUCCCGUACACCAAAAUGCACAGGCUGUGAACUCGAAGAGUAGGGCGGGACACGUGGUAUCCUGUCUGAAUAUGGGGGGACCAUCCUCCAAGGCUAAAUACUCCUGACUGACCGAUAGUGAACCAGUACCGUGAGGGAAAGGCGAAAAGAACCCCGGCGAGGGGAGUGAAAAAGAACCUGAAACCGUGUACGUACAAGCAGUGGGAGCACCUUCGGGUGUGACUGCGUACCUUUUGUAUAAUGGGUCAGCGACUUAUAUUCUGUAGCAAGGUUAACCGUAUAGGGGAGCCGCAGGGAAACCGAGUCUUAACUGGGCGUUAAGUUGCAGGGUAUAGACCCGAAACCCGGUGAUCUAGCCAUGGGCAGGUUGAAGGUUGGGUAACACUAACUGGAGGACCGAACCGACUAAUGUUGAAAAAUUAGCGGAUGACUUGUGGCUGGGGGUGAAAGGCCAAUCAAACCGGGAGAUAGCUGGUUCUCCCCGAAAGCUAUUUAGGUAGCGCCUCGUGAACUCAUCUUCGGGGGUAGAGCACUGUUUCGGCUAGGGGGUCAUCCCGACUUACCAACCCGAUGCAAACUACGAAUACCGAAGAAUGUUAUCACGGGAGACACACGGCGGGUGCUAACGUCCGUCGUGAAGAGGGAAACAACCCAGACCGCCAGCUAAGGUCCCAAAGUCAUGGUUAAGUGGGAAACGAUGUGGGAAGGCACAGACAGCCAGGAUGUUGGCUUAGAAGCAGCCAUCAUUUAAAGAAAGCGUAAUAGCUCACUGGUCGAGUCGGCCUGCGCGGAAGAUGUAACGGGGCUAAACCAUGCACCGAAGCUGCGGCAGCGACACUAUGUGUUGUUGGGUAGGGGAGCGUUCUGUAAGCCUGCGAAGGUGUGCUGUGAGGCAUGCUGGAGGUAUCAGAAGUGCGAAUGCUGACAUAAGUAACGAUAAAGCGGGUGAAAAGCCCGCUCGCCGGAAGACCAAGGGUUCCUGUCCAACGUUAAUCGGGGCAGGGUGAGUCGACCCCUAAGGCGAGGCCGAAAGGCGUAGUCGAUGGGAAACAGGUUAAUAUUCCUGUACUUGGUGUUACUGCGAAGGGGGGACGGAGAAGGCUAUGUUAGCCGGGCGACGGUUGUCCCGGUUUAAGCAUGUAGGCUGGUUGUCCAGGCAAAUCCGGAUAAUCAAGGCUGAGGUGUGAUGACGAGGCACUACGGUGCUGAAGUAACAAAUGCCCUGCUUCCAGGAAAAGCCUCUAAGCAUCAGGUAACAUCAAAUCGUACCCCAAACCGACACAGGUGGUCAGGUAGAGAAUACCAAGGCGCUUGAGAGAACUCGGGUGAAGGAACUAGGCAAAAUGGUGCCGUAACUUCGGGAGAAGGCACGCUGGUGUGUAGGUGAAGUCCCUGCGGAUGGAGCUGAGACCAGUCGAAGAUACCAGCUGGCUGCAACUGUUUAUUAAAAACACAGCACUGUGCAAACACGAAAGUGGACGUAUACGGUGUGACGCCUGCCCGGUGCCGGAAGGUUAAUUGAUGGGGUUAUCCGUAAGGAGAAGCUCUUGAUCGAAGCCCCGGUAAACGGCGGCCGUAACUAUAACGGUCCUAAGGUAGCGAAAUUCCUUGUCGGGUAAGUUCCGACCUGCACGAAUGGCGUAAUGAUGGCCAGGCUGUCUCCACCCGAGACUCAGUGAAAUUGAACUCGCUGUGAAGAUGCAGUGUACCCGCGGCAAGACGGAAAGACCCCGUGAACCUUUACUAUAGCUUGACACUGAACAUUGAGCCUUGAUGUGUAGGAUAGGUGGGAGGCUUUGAAGCGUGGACGCCAGUCUGCGUGGAGCCAACCUUGAAAUACCACCCUUUAAUGUUUGAUGUUCUAACGUUGGCCCCUGACCGGGGUUGCGGACAGUGUCUGGUGGGUAGUUUGACUGGGGCGGUCUCCUCCCAAAGCGUAACGGAGGAGCACGAAGGUUAGCUAAUCCUGGUCGGACAUCAGGAGGUUAGUGCAAUGGCAUAAGCUAGCUUGACUGCGAGCGUGACGGCGCGAGCAGGUGCGAAAGCAGGUCAUAGUGAUCCGGUGGUUCUGAAUGGAAGGGCCAUCGCUCAACGGAUAAAAGGUACUCCGGGGAUAACAGGCUGAUACCGCCCAAGAGUUCAUAUCGACGGCGGUGUUUGGCACCUCGAUGUCGGCUCAUCACAUCCUGGGGCUGAAGUAGGUCCCAAGGGUAUGGCUGUUCGCCAUUUAAAGUGGUACGCGAGCUGGGUUUAGAACGUCGUGAGACAGUUCGGUCCCUAUCUGCCGUGGGCGCUGGAGAAUUGAGGGGGGCUGCUCCUAGUACGAGAGGACCGGAGUGGACGCAUCACUGGUGUUCGGGUUGUCAUGCCAAUGGCACUGCCCGGUAGCUAAAUGCGGAAGAGAUAAGUGCUGAAAGCAUCUAAGCACGAAACUUGCCCCGAGAUGAGUUCU
RNAcentral lists this ribosomal RNA (2771 nucleotides) under Klebsiella pneumoniae. RNAcentral's name for it is "bacterial LSU rRNA". It matches the Rfam family "Bacterial large subunit ribosomal RNA". The record is from RNAcentral. Lineage: Bacteria; Pseudomonadati; Pseudomonadota; Gammaproteobacteria; Enterobacterales; Enterobacteriaceae. RNAcentral also lists the same sequence under 1 other name.